This 1564-nucleotide ribosomal RNA is filed under the name metagenome. Its description in RNAcentral is "bacterial LSU rRNA". It matches the Rfam family "Bacterial large subunit ribosomal RNA", at positions 1334 to 2925 of the family's 2925-position model. The record is from RNAcentral.
GGGCCGAAUAUCUAAGGUUUCCAGGGUAAAGCUGAUCUUCCCUGGGUAAGUCGGGGCCUAAGGCGAGGGCGAGAGCCGUAGUCGAUGGAUAACAGGUUGAAAUUCCUGUACUGCUUAUGGACAGAACUGUGGGGACGCAGAAGGAGAGCACGAGCCGGAAAUGGAAAAGCCGGUACAAGCGUAUAGCAGUCAUGCAGGCAAAACCGCAUGAAAAAUGUAAAGCGUUAUGUGGAUCGAACAUUAGUAGAGAAGCGUGUGAGCCAGCUGCCAAGAAAAGCCGCUAUUGCUUCAUAAGUACCCGUACCGUAAACCGACACAGGUGGAUGAGGAGAGAAUCCUAAGGCCGGCGGGAGAAGUGUUGUUAAGGAACUCGGCAAAAUGACUCCGUAACUUCGGGAGAAGGAGUGCCACAGAGAUGUGGCCGCAGAGAAAUGGCCCAAGCAACUGUUUAGCAAAAACACAGGUCUAUGCAAAACCGAAAGGUGAGGUAUAUGGGCUGACGCCUGCCCGGUGCUGGAAGGUUAAGAGGAGAGGUUAGAGCAAUCGAAGCUUUGAAUUUAAGCCCCAGUAAACGGCGGCCGUAACAAUAACGGUCCUAAGGUAGCGAAAUUCCUUGUCGGGUAAGUUCCGACCCGCACGAAAGGCGUAAUGAUUUGGGCACUGUCUCAACAACACACCCGGUGAAAUUGAAAUACCAGUGAAGAUGCUGGUUACCUGCGCCAGGACGGAAAGACCCCAUGGAGCUUUACUCCAGUUUGAUACUGGGAUUCGGUACUGUCUGUACAGGAUAGGUGGGAGGCUAGGAAAUGGUGACGCCAGUUGCCAUGGAGCCAACCUUGGGAUACCACCCUUACAGUACUGGGUUUCUAACCUGCAGCCGUAACCCGGCUGGGGGACAAUGUCUGACGGGGAGUUUGACUGGGGCGGUCGCCUCCGAAAGAGUAUCGGAGGCGCUCAAAGGUUCCCUCAGAACGGUUGGAAACCGUUCGAAGAGUGCAAAGGCAGAAGGGAGCUUGACUGCGACACCGACGGGUGGAGCAGAUACGAAAGUAGGACUUAGUGAUCCGGUGGUAUAAAGUGGGAUUGCCAUCGCUCAACGGAUAAAAGCUACCCUGGGAUAACAGGCUUAUCACUCCCAAGAGUUCACAUCGACGGAGUGGUUUGGCACCUCGAUGUCGGCUCAUCGCAUCCUGGAGCUGUAGCAGGUUCCAAGGGUUGGGCUGUUCGCCCAUUAAAGCGGUACGCGAGCUGGGUUCAGAACGUCGUGAGACAGUUCGGUCCCUAUCCGGCGUGGGCGUAGGAUAUUUGAGAGGAGCUGUCCUUAGUACGAGAGGACCGGGAUGGACAAACCUCUGGUGUAUCUGUUGUUUUACCAAAGGCAUGGCAGAGUAGCCAAGUUUGGCAGGGAUAAACGCUGAAGGCAUCUAAGCGUGAAGCCCCCCUCAAGAUAAGAUAUCCCAUCUUCGGAGUAAGACCCCUUGAAGACUACAAGGUUGAUAGGCUUUGUGUGUAAGUGCGGUAACGCACUCAGCUGAGAAGUACUAAUAGGUCGAGGACUUACCAA